GCUAGCAGGAAUUAGCAAUUCAGCAACACUUACAUUGUAAUCUGGCACAAAUAUUACCUACAAGAUAAAAAGGAGAGGCCUCUUCAGGUUGAAGGUGCAGAAAGCAAUCAUAUGAUGAAACAGAUCCAGAACUAUCACCGUCAAAAUUGCCGAGAAACUCUUCAGGUUGAAGGUGCAGCAAGCAAUCAUAUGAAACAGAUCCAGAACUAUCACCGUCAAAAUUGCCGAGAAGUCAACUAAAAAUAAAAUGGCUUUCAAAUGCACUAGAAAACAAUAGCCUGUAUCAAAUAAGCAAAAACUUCUAAGACAAUAAUCAAG
Molecule: long non-coding RNA, 318 nt
Filed under: Nicotiana benthamiana
Lineage: Eukaryota; Viridiplantae; Streptophyta; Magnoliopsida; Solanales; Solanaceae
Description: long non-coding RNA (NBEN_LNC037733)
Source: RNAcentral